CCCGGGGAAUGCAACAGCUGAUUCACCUGCUCCACGCUGAUUAAUAAACAAACUACCAUUGUGUGGGGCCUAUCUUCCUACUGGACCUCAAAACCCACCUACUCCACAAGUUUAUCUUCACAAUUAUGAACUACCUGCUUCACGUCACACUACAGCACCUAAAAGCAAAUAAUAAAGUUUAUUCUUGAGUUAACCUGCCUCUGUAUUCAGCCAAUCCCUCCUGUACGUGAGUGACGCACCUGGAUGCUGCAUAAGGAGAGAUGGAAAUACCUAAGGUGUGGUCCUUACUUCCAAGGGGCUUACAGCAGAACGAAGACUCGAAAGCAAGCACACCCACAACCACAACACAGCAGCUGGCACACACAGCAGGAAAGACACCGGGUUUAAUGGAGCAGAGAAAGGGGGCGUCAUCUCCAGGCACAGCUCCAUGAAGAAGAUGACAUUGACCUGGGAGCUCUGAGCCUUCAUAUAAUGAGUAAGCUUUCAGCUGGAAGAAAUCCCAAGUGGAGAAACAGGAAGCUAUAAAAGAGCAAUGGUUUUGGAUUCACAAAACCUGCCUGAGUGAACCUGGUUGCCAUUCUAGCACAGAGAUCCUGUCUCAAAAAAAAAAAAAAAAAAGAGGCCUGAGAGAACGUGUUUAUGCCUUUUCCCAUGUGAAGACACAGCUGGAAAGCACCAUCCUUGAAACUAAGAGCAAGCCCUCAUCAGUCAGUGAAUCUGCUGACGCCAUGAUCUUGGAAUUCCCAGCUUCCAGAACUGUGAGCAAUAAAUGUACAUGAUUGCAAAUUA
This 789-nucleotide long non-coding RNA is filed under the name Pan troglodytes (chimpanzee). RNAcentral's name for it is "lincRNA". The record is from RNAcentral. Lineage: Eukaryota; Metazoa; Chordata; Mammalia; Primates; Hominidae.